GCUCCCAUAGUCUAGCCCGGUCAAGGAUGCGGGCCUUUCGAGCCUGAGACGGGGGUUCGAAUCCCCCUGGGAGCA
RNAcentral lists this transfer RNA (75 nucleotides) under archaeon. RNAcentral's name for it is "tRNA-Glu". It matches the Rfam family "tRNA". From Rfam's summary of the family: Transfer RNA (tRNA) molecules are approximately 80 nucleotides in length. Their secondary structure includes four short double-helical elements and three loops (D, anti-codon, and T loops). Further hydrogen bonds mediate the characteristic L-shaped molecular structure. tRNAs have two regions of fundamental functional importance: the anti-codon, which is responsible for specific mRNA codon recognition, and the 3' end, to which the tRNAs corresponding amino acid is attached (by aminoacyl-tRNA synthetases). tRNAs cope with the degeneracy of the genetic code in two manners: having more than one tRNA (with a specific anti-codon) for a particular amino acid; and 'wobble' base-pairing, i.e. permitting non-standard base-pairing at the 3rd anti-codon position. The record is from RNAcentral.